GUGCCAGCAGCCGCGGUAAUACGUAGGGGGCGAGCGUUGUCCGGAUUUACUGGGCGUAAAGGGUGAGUAGGCGGUUGUAUAUGUCAGGUGUAAAAGGCUAUGGCUUAACCAUGGUUAGCACUUGAAACUGUGCAACUUGAGUGCAGGAGAGGUAAGCGGAAUUCCUAGUGUAGCGGUGAAAUGCGUAGAUAUUAGGAGGAACACCAGUGGCGAAGGCGGCUUACUGGACUGUAACUGACGCUGAGUCACGAAAGCGUGGGUAGCAAACAGGAUUAGAUACCCUGGUAGUCCACGCUGUAAACGAUGAGUGCUAGGUGUUGGGUAGCGAUACUCAGUGCCGGAGUAAACACAAUAAGCACUCCGCCUGGGGAGUACGGUCGCAAGACUGAAACUCAAAUGAAUUGGCGG
This 408-nucleotide ribosomal RNA is filed under the name uncultured bacterium. RNAcentral's name for it is "bacterial SSU rRNA". It matches the Rfam family "Bacterial small subunit ribosomal RNA", at positions 505 to 916 of the family's 1533-position model. The record is from RNAcentral.